This 253-nucleotide ribosomal RNA is filed under the name uncultured bacterium. RNAcentral's name for it is "partial 16S ribosomal RNA". It matches the Rfam family "Bacterial small subunit ribosomal RNA", at positions 524 to 776 of the family's 1533-position model. The record is from RNAcentral.
UACAGAGGUCUCAAGCGUUGUUCGGAUUCAUUGGGCGUAAAGGGUGUGUAGGUGGCGCGCUAAGUCGGGUGUGAAAUUUCGGAGCUUAACUCCGAAACUGCAUUCGAUACUGGCGUGCUUGAGGACUGGAGAGGAGACUGGAAUUCAUGGUGUAGCAGUGAAAUGCGCAGAUAUCAGGAGGAACACCGGUGGCGAAGGCGGCGACCUGGACAAGUACUGACACUCAACUACGAAAGCGUGGGGAGCAAACAGG